Molecule: long non-coding RNA, 208 nt
Filed under: Elaeis guineensis (African oil palm)
Lineage: Eukaryota; Viridiplantae; Streptophyta; Magnoliopsida; Arecales; Arecaceae
Description: long non-coding RNA (EGUI_LNC039002)
Source: RNAcentral
CUUCUACCCAUAGCUUAUGCCUUAGCUGAUACUAAGGAUAUGCAUGGACCACCAUCAACACCCAUGGGGAUCUGCUAGGUUCACAUAUAACAAAGACAAUUUGCUAUGAACAAUUAUUAGAAGCAUCAAUUCUAACAAUACCAUGUUACCAAAUACCAAUAAUACCUUCCUUUAAAUGCUGGGACUCAACACAAUAGGAACCCCAACC